Mustela erminea (ermine) is the source of this 357-nucleotide long non-coding RNA. RefSeq lists it as uncharacterized. The transcript has 3 exons. The record is from RefSeq and is a predicted model, not a curated record. Lineage: Eukaryota; Metazoa; Chordata; Mammalia; Carnivora; Mustelidae.
GGCCGGCUCCGACGACCCGUGGGUCCGGGUGGCAGUGGGCGGCCCCGACCAGCGCCCGGCUCUGCGGCGCCGGGUCUUCUCGGCGGUCCGGCCGCCAGCUGCAUGGUCAGUGCCGGCCCGGAGGAGGCGUCCCGAGAGGGGACUCCGCGGCAGCUCGCGGCUCUCGUCGCCCGCCCGCCGAAGCGAAGCGUCCCGCCACCCGCACCUGCCUGGGGAGGUAAAUUCAGAAAUACAAUUCAGUUCAUCCUGUGGGGGAUACAAAGACAAACUUAUUUUGUUUUUACCAUCAUGAAACUUAACAAUAUGGAAUAUAAAGUGUACAAUGUAAUGAUUAAACAGUUCCAGACUUUACCCAGU